This 253-nucleotide ribosomal RNA is filed under the name uncultured bacterium. Its description in RNAcentral is "partial 16S ribosomal RNA". It matches the Rfam family "Bacterial small subunit ribosomal RNA", at positions 524 to 776 of the family's 1533-position model. The record is from RNAcentral.
UACGAAGGGGGCUAGCGUUGCUCGGAAUCACUGGGCGUAAAGGGUGCGUAGGCGGGUUUUUAAGUCAGGGGUGAAAUCCUGGAGCUCAACUCCAGAACUGCCUUUGAUACUGAAGAUCUUGAGUCCGGGAGAGGUGAGUGGAACUGCGAGUGUAGAGGUGAAAUUCGUAGAUAUUCGCAAGAACACCAGUGGCGAAGGCGGCUUUCUGGCCCGUUCUUGACGCUGAGGCGCGAAAGCUAGGGUAGCAAACGGG